RNAcentral lists this transfer RNA (77 nucleotides) under Bacilli bacterium. RNAcentral's name for it is "tRNA-Ile". It matches the Rfam family "tRNA". Rfam says of the family: Transfer RNA (tRNA) molecules are approximately 80 nucleotides in length. Lineage: Bacteria; Bacillati; Bacillota; Bacilli. RNAcentral also lists the same sequence under 1 other name. The record is from RNAcentral.
GGGCCUUUAGCUCAGUUGGUUAGAGCGUCCGCUUGAUAAGCGGGAGGUCGUAGGUUCAAGUCCUACAAGGCCCACCA